RNAcentral lists this ribosomal RNA (468 nucleotides) under uncultured bacterium. RNAcentral's name for it is "partial 16S ribosomal RNA". It matches the Rfam family "Bacterial small subunit ribosomal RNA", at positions 29 to 507 of the family's 1533-position model. The record is from RNAcentral.
AACGAACGCUGGCGGCAGGCUUAACACAUGCAAGUCGAACGAGCAGGGGCUGCUGGUGUGGGGUGCUAGAGGGGCGAACGGGUGAAACACGCGGGAGUAAGCUGCCCAGUACUGUAGGAUAACGUGAAGAAACGGGUAAUAAUACCGAAGAGCUGCUGGGGAUGGAUUGAGGGGUAUGGAAUGAUUCGGCGGUUGGGGAUGGACUUGGGGCGGAACUGCCUGUUGGUGGGGUAGUGGCUUACCAAGGCUUUGACGGGUAGCCGGCCUGAGAGGGUGACCGGCCACAUUGGGACUGAGAUACGGCCCAGACUCCUACGGGAGGCAGCAGUGGGGAAUAUUGCACAAUGGGCGGAAGCCUGAUGCAGCAACGCCGCGUGCGGGAUGACGGCCUUCGGGUUGUAAACCGCUUUCGCCUGUGACGAAGCGUGAGUGACGGUAAUGGGUAAAGAAGCACCGGCUAACUACGUG